Molecule: long non-coding RNA, 693 nt
Organism: Setaria italica (foxtail millet)
Lineage: Eukaryota; Viridiplantae; Streptophyta; Magnoliopsida; Poales; Poaceae
Exons: 3
Source: RefSeq, a predicted model, not a curated record
GCUUCCACCCUGAAACCCUAGCAGUAGCAGACUAGCAGCGGGCGGAGCAAGCUGCAGCGCCGAAUUCCAUUCGCUCCAGCGCCGCUUCGUCCGCGCCCGGCCACCCACCGGUCGCCGCUGCUCCGCAAGCUUUCCGCAACCGUCCACUGGCUGCCGCGCCUCUACACUUACCGCGCCACCCGUUCCUCUUCUCGGGGCCGUGCGCUAGGGUUUGGAGCCGCCGCACAAAUCCUCGUCGGCGCCGCCAUCUCCGGUAGAAUGGAAGACGUUCAGGACGCCAUUGGGGUCUGACAUGUUUAGUCUGGCUUGCUCGUGACUCCUUCCGACCUGCCCCCCUUAGCAAUGGCAGACUCUAAGAAAAAGUACAGGGCACGUGAAAUUGAGUUCCUUGGUCAACAAAGGCACAUUGUUCUGCAAGAUGUUGGUGGAUGGUCUCACCUCGUGGAAGUGGUCAAUGUUCUUCUCCUCGGAGAUGAAUUACCAGAAGGAAUCAUAUUUCAGAGCAAAGCUCAUGGUGAGAAGUAUAUUGAAAAGUACAUGAUAGAGAAUUUGCUAGACACCUGUUUGGUGAGGAGACUGCAAACACUGGUGAAGCUUGGUACACUUACUCGAGCUCAGGUGGAUCAACACUUGCCAGAGUAUCGGAAGGUCAUCGUUUCCCUCUCCGAGACAUUCACUAUAUAUCCCAAAUUC